UCCUCUUUACAGAGGCAGUUUGUUCCGAGUCCCCGGCAUUACCCGCUGGUAACAGAACAUGAGGGUUGCGCUCGUUGCGGGACUUAACCCAACAUUUCACAACACGAGCUGACGACAGCCAUGCACCACCUGUGCACCACCCUCGAAGGCGGCUCCUUUUGGGGAGCUUGCAGGUGCAUGUCAAGCCCUGGUAAGGUUCUUCGCGUUGCAUCGAAUUAAGCCAUAUGCUCCACCGCUUGUGCGGGCCCCCGCCAAUUCCUUUGAGUUUCAACCUUGCGGCCGUAGUUCCCAGGCGGUUCACUUAAUGCGUUAGCUGCGGCACCGAGGGAAACCCCCAACACCUAGUGAACAUCGUUUAUGGCCAAGACUAC
Molecule: unclassified non-coding RNA, 371 nt
Filed under: uncultured bacterium
Lineage: Bacteria
Description: contains 16S-23S intergenic spacer region
Source: RNAcentral